Molecule: ribosomal RNA, 324 nt
Filed under: uncultured eukaryote
Lineage: Eukaryota
Description: partial 18S ribosomal RNA
Rfam family: Eukaryotic small subunit ribosomal RNA
Source: RNAcentral
CCCUUAGAUGUUCUGGGCCGCACGCGCGCUACACUGACGAAUGCAACGAGCUUAUAACCUUGGCCGAAAGGUCUGGGUAAUCUCCAAAUUUCGUCGUGAUGGGGAUAGAUUAUUGCAAUUAUUAAUCUUCAACGAGGAAUUCCUAGUAAGCGCGAGUCAUCAGCUCGUGCUGAUUACGUCCCUGCCCUUUGUACACACCGCCCGUCGCUCCUACCGAUUGAGUGCUCAGGUGAAUAAUUCGGACUGCAGCAAUGUUUGGAUCCCGAACGUUGCAGCGGAAAGUUUAGUGAACCUUAUCACUUAGAGGAAGGAGAAGUCGUAACA